CAACCUCUUUUUGCCAUAUUAACCUUCCGUCAAAAUUUUGUUUCGAACCUUUUUUUACCACAUUAUAUGUCAAUUUUUUUUUUUGGUUUCACUAUUUGUACAUCCUCAAGACUUGACCUAUGCCUCAAGUGACUCACCAUUCUGCUUAGUCUAGCCGAUGCUCUUUGGAUGUCAUUCAGCCUACCUUGUGUUGUGCCAUUUGGUAACUUGAUUGGCCC
RNAcentral lists this long non-coding RNA (218 nucleotides) under Elaeis guineensis (African oil palm). RNAcentral's name for it is "long non-coding RNA (EGUI_LNC041890)". Lineage: Eukaryota; Viridiplantae; Streptophyta; Magnoliopsida; Arecales; Arecaceae. The record is from RNAcentral.